This is a long non-coding RNA of Zingiber officinale, 3585 nucleotides long. RefSeq lists it as uncharacterized. NCBI's taxonomy places the organism in Eukaryota, Viridiplantae, Streptophyta, Magnoliopsida, Zingiberales, Zingiberaceae. The record is from RefSeq and is a predicted model, not a curated record. The transcript is spliced from 4 exons.
UUCUUUCUUCCUUUUUCAUUUUACUUUAUUAUUAUUUAUUAUUUUCUUGUCGGUCGCCGGCGGCUCUCGGGUUCUCACCCGCGUGCUCGGAAUCGAUCGGCUGAGUAGGGUUUUCCUCUUACGAUUUCCACCUCCACCGCCGGAGUCGGGUCCAUUUCACCGAGAUUGAGAGCUGAACUGCGUCGCCGAGGCUUCGAAUCGCGCGUUUUCCAGAAGGAGGUGGCGGCGGCGAGUGACGCUGAUGAUUUUUGGAUCUCGCUCAGAUGACGAUGAUCUGGAACUUGGCUUGAGCGAGAUGUUCUUGAGCCGGCCGGCGGUGGGGGCCUCGGUCUGCGCCUGCUUCAGUUCGCGUUUGGAGUCGCUCCGCUUGGCGUCAUGGUCUCCACCAACGAUUUCUCCUCCGUUAUUGCCUUCUGAGUACCAAAUCUACUCUUCGGUCGGUGGAUCGACCCAGCGGCCGUGGUCCUUUAUGAGCUGGAUUAGAGCAUCAGUUGCUCCCUCCAUUGCGAUGCCUCUCUUCAGCACAGUCUGAUACAAAAAUAAGAAGAAAGAAACAUGAUAUGAGUUUUAGUCAGUCAUUCCUAAACAGCAUCAACAAUGGCCAAGGAAAGUGAAUUGAAAGCCUUGAAGCAAGUUAAAGGAUGUAUUCCUUAGGAACUCAAACUCCUGCUCAGGAGCCUCAAGUAGGAUACCAUCUCCAAGCCCAUCGACUAAAAGAGAACCAGCAUUGCUCCCAGCCGUGAUCACCAGAUCGUCUCUGUCAAUUGCAGAACAACAAUGUGAAUGAACAGAUAUUUUCCGCUUACAACCUUCAAUAGGUUGUUAUCAAGAUUGCAAUCUCACCCGUCGAUCCCUUUAGGAAAUUGGAUAUGGUGGAUAACGGGGAAGUUAAGUGAACUUUCUUCUAGAUACUCAAACAACCUGAUAGCAGUAAAGAAAUUUGGAUUCAUGUCAAAGGAUGUACUAUUCGUCUUGAUAAUUUAUAGUCGCUAGCAUCACUUACCUCCUUGCUGCAUGAACUCGGCUGAGCUUCUCUUCGCUCAAUGGAACAUCAUGUAGUAACAUUGUGAUAUUAUCAACAUUCUUGAUGAUGUCUAGCUCCUCAUAUGGUUCAUCCCCGCGAAUAGUUACAGCUAACCGAGUAUCUAGAAAACAAGCACAUCUUUGAAUUAGAACAGCAUUGUGACAAAGAAGCAUGGAAUUGAAUGAUAAAAUAUGUCACCUCUUGGCAAAAGCUUGUGAGCACCAGUUGAAAGUUCGUCGAGGUUUACAAGGACAAUUGCAUUAGGAAGUGGUUUCUCCAGCUGCUCGGAUAACGGAACUAUGACACCCAUGCUUAUAUCGAUCAACCUUUUGAGAGCCAACCUCUAAUCAAAGCUUCAACAUCAUCUAGAGGAGGAAGUUCUCUCAAAAGAAUAGAGUCCACAGUUGCCAGGUCCUGAAAAUCUCAAAAGGUUAAGGUGAUUCUUUGGACUAGUUUCAAGCAUAGCAUUUGCAAUUCAGAAUCACAAACCUUGAAAGGCAUUCCAACCACAAGCUUUGCAGCAAGAGACUUGUAAAGAAGCUCCGGAGUCUGACAAAAGAAAUUAGCAACGCGUGACGAACGGCAAAAUAGAUGCAAAUAUAACAAAUGGGGUUGUUAGAUGUUCAUGAUAUUAAGAGAUGACAAUGAUAAACCAAACUAAGCAUUGAAUCUGCAUGAUGCUAAUAUGUGGUGUGAAGGUGGAGUGAUGAGUAUUCAGCUCAUGGUUCAAACUUUGACGGAUCAGGAAAACUGGAGACUAAUUCAAUUCAUCAAGUUGUGUUUUUCAAAACCACAAGAAAUCACUCAGAAUUGUCGGGGCCAAGCGUAGACUGAAUUUGACGAUGCCGACAUUGCCAUUCAUUUUCUUAAUAUUACCAAGUGCAACACUACUGUAUAAGGUAUCCGAUUGGCUAUCUACCUUGAGCAGGUCCAAGGACACUGGCAUAAGAACAGAACCAUCACGAUGAAGAACUCCACGGUAAUCCACUUCUUCACCCUAUCAAAAGAAGUGGCAAAUUUCAGAAACUUUUCUAUGGAUGUCGAUGCAAUGAACCAAAGACAUAAUACUAAUAAAAGAUUGCUAACCUCUAUCUGCACUGGAAGUUGACCUGUUCUUCGCUGGAAGUCAAAAUACCUUCUAUGUUUCUCCUCAAAAGGUGCCUAAACAUUUUUGGGAGUCACAAAGUUAGUUUUGAGCACAAAAACCAUUAGACAAUUGCGCUUAGUUGGAAUGACACAUACAGUUCCUUUCUGAAGAUUUGAAGCUUGCAUUCCAAGGUUAGCCAACCGCUUACAAGGAUCAAUCUCUUUCUCCGGUGGUUCUGUCAAAGACACCCUGAUUGUAUCGCCCAAACCAUCCUGUUGAGCAAUGCAACCGAUGUUAGAGCAUAUUAGCUUCACAAAAUACGCAGGCAUUCUGGAAAAUAAAGGACUUUGAAAAUUACAGACCUGAAGAAGUGUGCCAAUACCGAUUGCGGAUUUCAUCCUUCCAUCUUCUCCCUCUCCAGCUUCAGUAACUCCUAAGUGGAGAGGAUAAUCCCAACCUUGAGCAUACAUCUCAGUAACAAGCAACCGAUAGGCUUGAACCAUGAUAACUGGGUUACUCGCUUUCAUUGAGAAUACAAAAUUAUGGAAGUCUAGCUUCCGGCAUAUCCUUGCAAAUUCAAAGGCCGAUUCAACCUAUUGCAGAAAUAUAAAGUUUUUCAGCAUAGAUUUGUUUGAAGAACCAUGUUCGAUGUGUAGCUUAUGAACAAGAAUACUGACCAUUCCUCUUGGAGAAUCUCCAUAGUAGCUCAUGAUUCGAUCAGAAAGACUUCCAUGGUUUGUCCCAAUUCGGAUUGCUCGUCCAUAUUGCUUGCAUUUCUCAACCAAUGGAGUGAAGACCUGACCAGGUAGAUGAACAUUUGAUGAACUUCACAGGAUAGUAGGGUUCAGUAAUCUCAGAAGGAUUUCACGAGAAAUUCAUAAGUUUCAACUUUGAAUCAGAUUCAAAUGGGACUAUAAGUGGCAAUUAUCUGAACCUUUUCGAUGUGCUCAAGCUCUUUUUGAUAUUCAUCAUCACUAUACUCUAACUGCUCAAACUGUGCUCGCCUAUCAGCUGUAAAGAAAGUGUUUCAGUAUCAAUUCAAAGUCAACAGUAACUUUCUUCUUCAAAGUAAAAACACAAUAACUGACCAAAAUUUCCAGGAUUGACUCGAAUCUUGUCGAAACAUUCAGCUACCCUCAUCGCAAUUGCAGGUGCGAAAUGAAUGUCCGCCACAAGAGGAAUAUUAUAACUGGGUUCAACGGAAAUGAGAAUGAAUAUGCUAAUACGAGAAGGUUUUCUGAAGUUUCUACAUUUGCCACGUGAAGCAGCAAAGUUAAAAAUACGAGACCUACUUGUUUUGGACGAGUUUGUUCUUAAUUUCAAAACAAGAAUCCGAUUCUUUCCUCCCUUGAACUGUUAUUCGAACUAAAUCAGCUCCUCUAUCUGCAAUUCUCAUUACCUGGCAAGAGAACAUACUUAGUUUCAGAAACACUGUACACAGAAUAGCAUCUAGUCAAAAGGCUUAAUCUCUCAA